This 443-nucleotide ribosomal RNA is filed under the name uncultured bacterium. Its description in RNAcentral is "bacterial SSU rRNA". It matches the Rfam family "Bacterial small subunit ribosomal RNA", at positions 337 to 797 of the family's 1533-position model. The record is from RNAcentral.
UCCUACGGGACGCAGCAGUAGGGAAUCUUGGACAAUGGGGGAAACCCUGAUCCAGCCAUGCCGCGUGAGUGAUGAAGGCCUUCGGGUUGUAAAACUCUUUCGGCGGGGACGAUAAUGACGGUACCCGCAGAAGAAGCUCCGGCUAACUUCGUGCCAGCAGCCGCGGUAAUACGAAGGGGGCUAGCGUUGUUCGGAAUUACUGGGCGUAAAGCGCGCGCAGGCGGCCUUUCAAGUCAGGGGUGAAAGCCCGGAGCUCAACUCCGGAAUUGCCUUUGAAACUGUCAGGCUCGAGUACGGGAGAGGUGAGUGGAAUUCCCAGUGUAGAGGUGAAAUUCGUAGAUAUUGGGAAGAACACCGGUGGCGAAGGCGGCUCACUGGCCCGUUUCUGACGCUCAGGCGCGACAGCGUGGGGAUCAAACAGGAUUAGAUACCCUUGUAGUCCG